AAAAAGACAAACCCUGAGUUUCCGUGUCUAAUAUUUGACUGUCCGUCUUAUAUAAUUUUUCUUUAUAAUUAGUAUUUUCAUUGUUGUUAGAUGAUAAAAUAUAAUUAAUACUUUAUGCGUGAUUUGUCUUUUUAAUUUUUUAAUAAUUUUUUCAAAUAAGAUGGAUGGUCAAACGUUGUAUACGGAAACCCAGGGUUUGUUUUAUC
Molecule: non-coding RNA, 206 nt
Organism: Oryza glaberrima (African rice)
Lineage: Eukaryota; Viridiplantae; Streptophyta; Magnoliopsida; Poales; Poaceae
Source: Rfam